UACGUAGGGGGCAAGCGUUGUCCGGAUUUAUUGGGCGUAAAGAGCGUGCAGGCGGCUUUGCAAGUCCGUUGUGAAAACUCGAGGCUCAACCUCGAGACGCCGGUGGAAACUGCAAAGCUAGAGUCCGGAAGAGGAGAGUGGAAUUCCUGGUGUAGCGGUGAAAUGCGCAGAUAUCAGGAAGAACACCCGUGGCGAAGGCGGCUCUCUGGGACGGUACUGACGCUGAGACGCGAAAGCGUGGGGAGCGAACAGG
Molecule: ribosomal RNA, 253 nt
Filed under: uncultured bacterium
Lineage: Bacteria
Description: partial 16S ribosomal RNA
Rfam family: Bacterial small subunit ribosomal RNA
Source: RNAcentral